This 249-nucleotide small RNA is filed under the name Paenibacillus pabuli. RNAcentral's name for it is "BsrG". It matches the Rfam family "BsrG". Rfam says of the family: bsrE, bsrG and bsrH pair through intermolecular interactions with antisense sRNAs. SR4 interaction with the 3'UTR of bsrG RNA promotes bsrG degradation and inhibits its translation. SR5 also overlaps bsrG from nucleotide 163 to 52 (Rfam overlap check). RNAcentral also lists the same sequence under 1 other name. The record is from RNAcentral. Lineage: Bacteria; Bacillati; Bacillota; Bacilli; Caryophanales; Paenibacillaceae.
AGCAAUGGAAAGGCUUAUAUGGGCGGUCGGCUAAUCUCCCGGAAGGGAGGUGAUGCCUUGUGACAGUAUUUGAAGCGAUUAUGCUAAUGCUUACCUUCGGUUCGCUGCUUGUAGCGCUGCUGUCCAAUAAAGACAAAUAGACCGCCCUCUGGCUAAGGGAUGCGGUCUAUUUAGUCGGUACCCUGCUUGUUAAGCCCACCGCCCUUAAAAGCGGCUAUUGCAUCGGAGAGUCGUGUUAGCGCACGGCUC